Panicum virgatum (switchgrass) is the source of this 9807-nucleotide long non-coding RNA. RefSeq lists it as uncharacterized. NCBI's taxonomy places the organism in Eukaryota, Viridiplantae, Streptophyta, Magnoliopsida, Poales, Poaceae. The transcript is spliced from 2 exons. The record is from RefSeq and is a predicted model, not a curated record.
UUGGAGCGUGCCUUGGCCUCGUAGUCGAUGACAGCCUCUUCUCGUCAACCCAUCCCAUUCCUCAUGGUGCGGGGGAACCUCCACCCAGUCGCCCCGAAGAAAUGCUCCGCGCGUGGGUCUGGCGCUGCGGUUCCAGUCCCUGUUCAGCUCGUUUGGUGGCGUAUUUCCUGAUGGGAUGGAGGAGAGGAGGGUAGGCGGAGGGGACCGUGGUACCGCCGCAAAGGUAGGCGAACCAGUGAGGUAAAUUCUCCGCAGCCUUAUGCUCGAUCUCUUUUGCUUCACGGUCGAUCCCUACGUGGGCGACAUACAUAUAUUACAUUUGCGAUCAGAUGGUGUUGUAUCUCGUAAGCUACCUGUAGAUUUCAUUACCUAGAAUAACAUGCGUAGCUGAAGAAAUAGUCGCUCGACUUUUGCAUCUAGGAUUUCAUCAAAUUCGUGCGUGAGUUCUCCUAUUUUUAUCUGGUUAGAGUAGCUCCUGAUUUUGCAACACAUAGUCGAGGGAAUAGCAGUAUCUAUACAUGCUUUGUUUUUUAUUUUGAGGAAAUUUCGAGGAAACUUGGAGCGCAGUGGACAUGAUUGCUGCUUUAGUGCAGGUGGAUGGACCAAGAGUAAUAAUCCUCAAAUAUUAUCAAAAUAACAAAUAUAUGUAAUUAUUCUUUUAUCACUUGAAUGAUUGUUACACAAGUUCCGUUCUUUUCCAUACGCGCACAAUUUCAAAUGUAUGCUGGAAAAUGUUUACCUCUUUUGGAAGUUCAAUUUUUCAACUGAUAGAGAGUAAAGGAUAAUCAAUACAAUAGGGAAAGCAGUGAUAGCUACAGCUACCAUGCUCAACCUGUCUUGAUGAAACCCAAAAUAGUCAUUCAAGAAAACAGCAAUAGUUUUGGUUUCUCCAAAUACUUUGACUUCUUUAUUUAUGUUUCCAUACUGGGAGGUCAAUAGCGAAUUGAGUAUCCAAGAUGUAGGGGUAAGGUAAUAGAGCCAGAUCCACCACUUUGGGAAUUGCUGUAAAGAAAUAUUUAACUGAAUGUUAAUGCCUUCCUCAUACAGAACAUAAAGUAACACCUGACUGAGAAAAAAAUGUUUUCAUCUAUAAAUUCAAGUAGUUUUUUUUCAUAUUUGGUGUAUAAUCUUCACGUGAAAUGAAUUAGAAAAAAUAGUUUACAAAGGAUAAUAUCUGUCUUCUGCUGGGGAUACAUUUGAGCAUUGCAAAAGAUAAUCACUCAGAUGUAUCUUACAUUCAUUCUGAUUUUCUUAGUGUAUAUUAGUUGCUGCUAAAUUAUUACUGAAUGUGUUGAUGUUUCCUGAAUACAAUAUUAUUGGUAGGCUAGAACUUUCAAAGUUACUACAACUCCUUAGUAAAUUAGGAAGGAUGUGUUAAAAGGUAUAGCAAUCAUUGACCUUGUAGAACUCAAUUAGAAUAUUCACAAGAUAUGAUUAACUUUUAACAUUGUGAAUGUCUGCUCAGAGCAAUAGUUAUAGAGUGGUAUCAUACAUGUUUCUUGUUGGGACAUCUAAUUUGAAUUCAAGAUUGAUGUUUACAUGCCAAAUGUUGGAGAAUUGGUACUAUGAAUAUCAUAUUUUAUUACAAUGAUAAACCACUAAUUCAAAGUGCUACUAAUUGUGUGUUAGGUUGGCAAAUGCAUUUCCUAUAAUCAUGAUACUAGUGGAGUAUAACUUCUUCAGUAUGUUUCAUCGCUCCAUUCACAUAGUUAAGCUUAAAUAAUUUUGAUAACUAAUUUUUUCCUAGCUAUCUAGAUUAGCAAUAUUAAGAUGAUGUCAAUAGGUUUACAAUAAAAAUAUUGCUAUAUAUUAUCUUGGGGCACAAAAACAUUUUAUUUUGGACAUUAACGAUAUCUCUAAAAUUCAAGUUUCACUAUUGUAAUAUAUUUGUAUUAAUACAUAUGCAUGCACUUUUGUAGACAAAUAUGCACAUAAGAUUUGACAUGUACAGAUUGGAGGUAAUAAUUGCUCUAUAUAAACUGCAGGACCAUGUGAGUUUGAAAUAGGGUUUGCAUGUCUAGAAGAUCUCUUCUAGGAUCAUUAGAAUCACAACAAAUGCAUGUUCCACUUGAUAUGUAGUAUGUCCAUCUUAGCUUUAUGUGAGAACAUAGUUAUCAAACUUGCACUUCUAUGAUCAUAUUUCCCUAAAUGUUUAAAUUUUAAAAAUAUAAGCUAUAUUAUCACAUUUGUAAUAAGCAGAGAUCCAGACUUACAGGUGCAGGUAAAAUAAAUCCUGAAAAUAGUGUCUGUAGUGUGUUGAAAAAUGAUCCCAAUAUGGUGGCUACUUGCACAUUUGGGGUUACUGAAACAAGCAGCAAUCCAACAUAAAGGAAGGAAAGAAUUGAGCAAAAGGUAGUGUAGAGGAACCAUAGGAGUUUGUAUGCUGUCCAAUAAUAGCCAAUUGUUGGGUAGACGAUGAUUGUAUAGAGUAAUGCUUGGAUAAAGGCAUAGGGAAUCUCUAUUACAGCCUGUAGAAGGUAAAGAAAUUUGAUUAGUUCUUGCAUGAUAGAGUUUUCUAUGCUUAGAAAUGUGUGGUCAUUAUUCGACUUCUGACCUGUGCAAAUGAAUAUGCCCAGGAAGAGUACAUUCCUGCAAAUUUCUCACGAUACAUUACAAUGCGCUCCAUUGUACUAAAUGGUAUAAUUGACUGGUCAUUGUAAACGCCAAGUUGUAUAACCCCCAGAUACAUUGCACCAAGAACAUUGAAUAGAUCCUGCUCAUUAUUUCUUGAACGGAACAAGGAGACAUUAACAGUUAGCCUAUUGAAUCUGUGACAUACCUUUAUGAUCUGUUAAUCAUAUUCAAAAUUGCUCAACAGCAUAGGACCAUGGUCGUAUCCCCUAUUAUGUAAAAACUGAAAAAACGAAAGUGGGAUGUGGACUUACAAUAUCUUUGCAUGCCUCCAGUACAAUACUAUGAAGGUCAAUGCUAUCACUAAUGUCAUCACCAUACGAUUCAGAUUAUAUUGAGGGCUUCUCCAGUAGGUUAUAUUCUGUUUCCAUAAGCAAGCUUUAAAUUGCCUCCAUCGAUUCUGUGGGAAACGAUAGGAGAAACAUAGGUUUUCUGAAUUCGGUAGUGGGUUACUUAGUUGCUCAACAAGCUCUUGCCUAUCCCUGCAUGGAAAAAUAUUAUUAUCCUUUUUGUAAGUUCACAUGAGAUAUUUUGUUGAUAUAAUCUUUUACAGUAUCUAGGUUAUUUUAGGCAUAUAUUUGUUCCUUGUUGAUUAUCAAAUGCGAUCAUACCUGUGCAGUGGCGAUUCUUUGUAGGCACUUGCGAAGUCUAUGCCGAGUUGAAACUCCAUGGAUACUGAUGUUACAUCCAUUAUCCAAGUAGCAGGGUUGCGAUUUCUCUCUAUUUUGGGGACACCGGAAAUUUUCUAUUGGCACAAGGAAGUAGACCACUCCAUUAAUUCCUUCUGUUACCGGGAAUUGAACCUCACUCAGUUGGUGUUAUGUGUGUAUGUUUAAUUUGCACACCCCCACCAUCCAGUUUAAGGCCUCUUCACAAAUUUGGGUAUGUAUUUUCAUAAUUAUUAGUUUGACCGACUUUCCAUAGUAAUAUGAUGUGCAAGGACACAUUCGGAUAUAACACGUGUUGUCAUGAAUCACGGUUUGUCUAAAAACACUAGCACGACACUACUAUCCACAAAUGCACAUUUGCGACAAAAAUUACCAUGCUAUUAAUUACAUAUCACUACGCCCCAAUGACAUACUGAUAUAAAACAUUUAGUUAUCAAUUUUAACAUGCAAAAUGCAGGGCUGGAAGCACAAAAAUUGCUAUAGUUCUGCUUUUCUUGUGAGCUGUGAGCCAAGUUACAUAGUGAAUACAAACGACUUCAAAUAUGCCAAAUUUGUAGGAUUACUGUUAUGUGAAAUGAAAAGCCACCGGAAACUGGUGUCAUUGUUGUUGUUGUCUGGGUACCCAUUUUUGUCCAUUUUUUCAAAAACCACUUAGAAAAGUUUUUUUAUAUGCAAUUGCAUAUAAUCAAGAAUCCUGGAGUCACUCUGCAAAUCCGUUAUUUUAUUUGAAUUGGAAAAAGAUAAAAAUGAAGGAUAGUUAAGAAUCAACACACUACAAGGAAUCAUUUGGAGAAAUAUUAACCUCAAAGUACUCAAUCACUUUGCAAGAUUGCUCUCCUAUUGGGCCACUGUAGAUUAUUUUCCCGCCAUUUUUCAUUAAUAUAAGCUGCACAAAAAUAUUUAAACAAUUCAAUAAGGAAAAUUUUUUCUAGCAGCCAUGUAAAGAAAAAUCUUCUUGUAGUGGAAAUAGAAAUUGGAAAUAAGCACUACCAAGCAUUUCUCUUUACAUGCAUUUUGAUGCUUUAAGAAAUGAGAAAAUAAGAUUGAGAAGUUGACACAUUAUUUUAUCUAUACCACUUAUAUUUCUUUUAUGACUGUUGUUUUUUUGACCAUUUUCGUUUCAGUGUUGCGAUGUUGCCAUGAACAUUUUCCGUGCAUGUGCAAGUUUAAUCAGCUGCCUAUUAGCUUAUACAAUCAAGUUUAACUAGUCCAGAAGUCAAUUGUCUGCUAUAUAAUUUCUUAUGUAGCUAAAUGUUAUCAUUUUCCUGCACGUGUGACAUAUUCACUAACACUCUAUGCAUUGCCUUUCAUGAUGUAAGGUUGAGCUUAUGAAAAGAAGUAUUGCAUGAUAAUCAAUGUAGUUUAUUAAAGUAGUCCAUUUGAGAUUUGGCAAUAUGGAACGAUGCAACUGAUAAGUGCAAGAUGAUAUACAAUUUGUAAGAAUUUGUUUGUACAAAAUCGAUAAACUUAGAAAAAUAUUAUUUACUCUACAACAUUGUAAUAAAGCUUUAUUUUUUUUAAUUGCAUAAACCUCUUUGUUUGUACAAAAUCGAUGAACUUAGAAAAAUAGUAUUCACUCUACAACAUUGUAAUAAAGCUUUAUUUUUGUUUAAUUGCAUAAACCUCUUCAGUAGUUGCAUACAGCUUAAGCAUUGACCGGUAGGGUGCGCAUAACACUUACCAUUUUCUAAAACAUUGAAUUGAAUAAAUGGAGAUGAGGUGAAGUCGUCGCUAAAUAAACCAUGGUGCAUGGCUCAAGUGACUAACAAAUUUUCUCUAGAUUAUAUGGUAAAUUUUAGCUUAUUUGGUAGCUAAAAAUAAAUGUAUCUUGGUGCUAAUGCACCAGGGAAACUAAAUGUGGCAUUGCCCCUGGAGACAAUAUAUGCUAUAUGAAAGGUGAAGUGUUCCUUUGAAAAACUAGAUAUCGAUAGUUCCUGAUAUUAUCAUGAGGGCUCAUUUUUUCUUAUACAAAUUAUUAGCUGUAAAUUGGAUUGAUGUAGAUCAUUUGAAAGUUUGGAAUAUUUUGCAAAAAGUAAAAUACCUCGUCAAAUGCCUCAAAAAUUUCAGUGCUAGGCUGAUGGAUUGUACAUACAACUGUCCUUCCUGUUUCAGAAAUAUUUUUCACCGCACGUAUGACAAUGGCUGCUGAUCUAGCAUCUAAUCCUGUUGUUGGUUCAUCCAUUAAUAUGACUGAUGGGUUUGAAACUAGUUCGAUUGCAACUGUUAACCUUUUCCUCUGCUCCAAGGAUAAUCCAUUUAUUCCUGGCCUCCCGACUAAAGCGUCUUUUAUGUCAUCUAACUCAACAAUUUUGAGUACUUCAUCCACAAAUUCCUGCAUGUUACAUGCAAAAUGAAAAGAAUGUAAAUUACUCAUGAAACCUUCUGUUAUUUUCCACUCCCCUAUCUAUACGGCAAUAUCAAAUUGCAUUGUUAUCAAAAGCUUUAAUAUGUUGUGUGAUGUUCUAGGGGACGUACGUAUCUUGUUUUUUCAUCAACCUGUGCAGGCAAGCGAAGCCAAGCUGAAUAAGCUACAGAUUCUUCAACUGUAAGCUGUGGAGAAUGUAUGUCAACUUGCUCACAAUAACCUAAUAUUCUGACAAAUGUUUCUUGCACCUUGGUAUGCCCGCCUAUUCUUAUGUCUCCUUCAGUAUAACCUCCAGUUUUCCUUCCUGCCAAUACAUCUAGUAGAGUUGUCUUCCCAGCUCCACUAACACCCAUUAAUGCAGAAAGAACACCAGGACGGAAUGCACCGGUGACACUGUUUAAUAGUUGAAUUCUUUUUUCUAAGUGGCCAUGUUUCAGCAUUCCCUACAACAAGGGUACAAUUUUUAUACUCCUUCAAGUAAAAAGUAGGCAAGCACUAAAGAAACAAUGGAACAUUUGAAGGUGAGUCUUUCCAAAUUUACCGAUGGUGUGUCAACAUAGUAGUUGAGAUUGCGGAACGUAAGUGCAAGUUGCAUAGUAGGCAUAGCCAGCUUUGCUGCAAGAAGAUGAAAUUGUAGGUGAUUACGUAUUAGAAUGGAUUUUGGUUUUGAGAGAAAACUCUACUAGUCUCAUAUUUUUGUUGAGAAGUUUUUGCAUAUUUUUAUUGUACUAUGGUAUCUUAGUAAUAUCAAUGUAGUCAUUUCAGUAGACUCUCGCCUACUAUGCUAUUGAGGAGGGAGGAGAAGCAGGAUGGUGGUUGAUGGGAUUACCUUCUUGGGUCAUGUUUGCAUGAUUAGUGGAUUCUUUUUGGAUAUUGAUCUCUUCUUCCUGCACUUUAGCAAAGAACUUCCUAGGAAUGCUUCCAUGAUACGCUUCUAUAGCUGAAACAAGUAGAAGCAUGAUUUCUUUUUAAAACAAAUAAAAAUUAUGGCGGUAUCCUUUACACUUUCUGUAGUGAACUUACGCCUUCUAUAAGCUAGUGCUAGUCCAAAAGCUAUGUAAAACAAAAUGAUGAAUCCAAUAAGGGCUCCAACAGAUAUCCAAUAAAAGUGCCAACUGUAGUAGAGGCCAUGGUUAAUCAAAAUUUGGUUCCCUAUUGUUUUAUUUUGCAUAGUUUCCUGAAAAAAAAAUAAUGAGAAUGUUGAAUGCUUGGUAGCAGCAAAUUCAUCACAUUUUUUUAUCUGAGAAGAUAUUUCACCAUUUGCCAUCUUGGUGCAAGGAAUUCAUUUAAGGCUGUGCUGAUUUCUGCAUAGGUCAAUGGAGACAUCCAAAAUCCCCAGCUUAACCAUCCUGGCAUAGAGGCUGGGACACAACGGUAGCAUAUAAAAUAAGUGCUAAAUGAUAUAUAUGCUUUGUAAAUAUACUUUUCAAUGAUGAUAUUUGUCUUACGUUUGGGAAGAAUGAAGCCUCCAAACGCUAGGAAGAAUGUUAGGGAUACAAAUGUGUAGAAGAAACAUAUAAUAUGUGUUUGGAAAUGAGCAGCAAUAAAUCGGUACAAUGAUGUUAAUGAUUGAUGGAGAAGAGAAAAUAUCAGAAACUGGCAGAAGAACCUGGCAGUGGCUUGAAAGAAAGAGUUUUGCAGUUAGUCAAAUUCCAAAUUAGUUCAUAUGAAUGCAAAUUUGAGAUUUUUUUUUCAUAAAGAUUUACCUGGAAGUUGUAGAUGUGUAACCAAUACCAUAAUAAGUGAUGCAUAUCCAUACAAAUGAGUCUAGUAAGGAGAUAGGGACCUUCAUGAUCGAUGCAGGUAUUGCAUAUGCCCACGAAGGAUAAAAAUGAUAGUUUUUUUGCUUAUAGAAACUUGGCAGUCUAGCAAUCUGCAUGCUCAUCUCUGGUAUGCCAUUUAGAAUAAUGAUAAUGAUGGAAUAAUAUAAUGCUCCCAUGUAGUAAUUAGCAUGUGUUAAAUCUGUUGUCAUAUGACUUCGAAAGAAUACAAACAUUGUAAUGAUUGCAAUAGUGGAGAGCUGCAUAAAUGAGUAAAAUUAGUUUAUAUUCAUGUAAUUGAACAAAGAGACUAUGGCUAUUGCAUUUUGUACAAAUAACUUUUGUGAUUAGUAUAACCUGCAUAGUUUUGAAUGCAUAAACAGACAUACUCCUUUUGAUCAAGAGUGCUUCCCUUGCUCCACAUGCUUUGAACAGUUCUAAUUUUGGUAGUGAAUACUUAUUGAAUGAUAAAGAUUUCUUGCCCAACUCGUUUUUCUGAGGUAUAGAGGGCUUUUCUAAUUUUCUCCGUUUCUGAUAUCUUCUAAACAUGCUCGAUAAUUGAUGAGAAGAAAUGUAUCUGUAAGAUUCAUCUGUACCAGACCAGUACUGCCUUUGGUCCUUUAUGGACAAUACCUAAGGAUUCACAAAUUAGGGAAAAUAUAUCAUAAACCUUUGAAUAUAUUGUUUUAUCUUUUCAUAUGAUUUUUAUGAUUUAUAAUUUGAUACCUCUUGGAGAAAGUCCGCCAUCCCUUUUCUCUCUGGGCAUCUGAAGCCACAUUCCUCAAAAAAAAUGUGAGCUUCGUUUCGAGGGCCAUGAUAGAUAAUCUUUCCUUCUGCCAUUAGGAUUAGGUCAUCAAAUAGAUCAAAUACCUCAGGUGUUGGUUGAAGAAGUGAAAUAAGCAUGGUGCAUUCAUUGAUGUUUGCUAGUUGUUGAAAGCACUUGAUUAUUUGGAAAGUAGUAGAGCUAUCCAAACCAUUGGAUAUUUCAUCCAUGAAAAAAGCUUUUACUGGUCCAACGAUCAUCUCCGCUGGUUUAGACAGGUGAAAUAAUAUUAAGUGAAUGUUUUGCAAACAUGCAAAAUCUUUGCGUGGCAAUCUUAUAGAAGAGAUAAUAUUAAGUCAUAAUUAAUAGUUUAUAUUGGCUAACCAUAUUUGCUUUAACUACCUGUUGUUAGUCUUUUCUUCUGACCCCCUGAUAUUCCUCUUCUCAUUGCAUCCCCAACCAUAGUGUCUGCACAUAUGUCUAGCCCCAUGAUCUAUAAAAAAAUAAUUAGUAUUAUGAGCUUUUCUUUAAAGCUUAAGCAUACAAUUGUUCUUCCUUGAGCACUAUUUCAGCAACGUACUCCUAAACUUGUAAGUUUCAGUGAUACGUACUUUCAAAAUGUAGCCUGUUUGUAGGCUUUUCUCUGAAGUUGCAACUGCGGUCGCCUACAUGAUGCAAAUUAGUUUUUGAAUUUUUUGAGACAUAAUUUCAAAACUAAAGAAUAGAAUAGGGAUUGUUUUAAUCAUAACUACAUAUAUAAGACAUAGAUUUUUCCUUUUCACCAACAUUGGCACUGCCCUGUUUCUUUCAUGACAUGUGUACGUGUUCUCAGUAAAACAGAUAAGAUGUUGUUCGCUAUUUUCUAAAAGGAGACUCUUAUAUUACCUUCAUGUACAGAUUGAUGUCAUGAUCGGGUAUUAUCCCGGCCACCUUCUCCCUUUUGCUCACUUCCUCAAGUAUUUCUUUGGACAAACAAAAACAUAAUAUUGUUAUUACUUUGGAACUUGUUUUGUAUAAUGAUAAAUAUUUGUGCAGAAGGAAUUACCAGCUCUACUUCCAACACCUUGGCACUUGACGGAGAAGUCUAAAGUUUCCCUUACUGUUAUAUCAGGAAAUGGAGGUUGUCAUCCUCGACGCGCUUGAGAAGAUUGUCGAAGAACUCUCGCCUCUUGAGAGCGCCCACCUUGCCGCCAUCGAGCAGUAACAUGUCCUCGCCUGCUGCUUCUUGGCGGGCAUCUGCUGGAGCUCCGUUCCUGUAAUCCCCUGCCGCCAUUUCCAGCUCCAUCUCCUUGGAGUUGGGGACGUGCUCAUUGGCAGCCAAAGCUGAAGUUGGAAGCUGGGAGGACGACAGACUCGUCUCACUUCCAGGAAACUCCAUCUCGAGGUUGAUCACUUCCUCACUCUUUUCUAUCGCCUCUCGAGGCCCUGGAUCCGUCCUAGUGGAACUGUGGAAGCAUCAUGCAGUUCUCCGAAGAGACGCUGGGACUAGCUUUGCAUCACGUCCCUUUAUAGGGCUUGCAUUGGCAUACUUAAAUAAAACUAGGAUCAAAGUAGUAUCUGACUUGUUGAGUCAGACGAAUUGUUUAGCUUUCAAAUAGAGUGGACUUGAAUGUUACGGCA